Molecule: ribosomal RNA, 491 nt
Filed under: uncultured bacterium
Lineage: Bacteria
Description: partial 16S ribosomal RNA
Rfam family: Bacterial small subunit ribosomal RNA
Source: RNAcentral
GUGCACGCUGGCGGUAGGCCUAACACAUGCAAGUCGAGCGGCAGCACAGUAAGCGCUUGCUCUUACGGGUGGCGAGUGGCGGACGGGUGAGGAAUACAUCGGAAUCUACUUUUUCGUGGGGGAUAACGUAGGGAAACUUACGCUAAUACCGCAUACGACCUACGGGUGAAAGCAGGGGAUCUUCGGACCUUGCGCGAUUGAAUGAGCCGAUGUCGGAUUAGCUAGUUGGCGGGGUAAAGGCCCACCAAGGCGACGAUCCGUAGCUGGUCUGAGAGGAUGAUCAGCCACACUGGAACUGAGACACGGUCCAGACUCCUACGGGAGGCAGCAGUGGGGAAUAUUGGACAAUGGGCGCAAGCCUGAUCCAGCCAUACCGCGUGGGUGAAGAAGGCCUUCGGGUUGUAAAGCCCUUUUGUUGGGAAAGAAAAGCAGCAGGUUAAUACCCCGCUGUUCUGACGGUACCCAAAGAAUAAGCACCGGCUAACUUCGUG